GCCAAAUCUUUCACCUGAAUAUGGUGGCUGUUUCAAUCACUUUUUUUUUUUUUAAUUAAAUACCUGUUUAUUUACAUGGCUACUAGAGACGCCAAGAGAAGAUGUGACUCCUGCCCUCCAGGAAUGCUAAUAGAAGAAACAGACAUGUCUUCAGCCAGCACCACCAUCUGAGGGCUGAGGAACCUACUCUACAGAACGGAAGGCAGAAUCAGCGGAACGUGUGUGACCUUCACUGCAUUGUUGAAUGAUUGCCCAUCAGAAAAUACAAAGAGUAAAAGGCUACUG
This is a long non-coding RNA of Lynx canadensis (Canada lynx), 285 nucleotides long. RefSeq lists it as uncharacterized. The transcript has 3 exons. Lineage: Eukaryota; Metazoa; Chordata; Mammalia; Carnivora; Felidae. The record is from RefSeq and is a predicted model, not a curated record.